Molecule: ribosomal RNA, 324 nt
Filed under: uncultured bacterium
Lineage: Bacteria
Description: SSU rRNA
Rfam family: Bacterial small subunit ribosomal RNA
Source: RNAcentral
AGGAUGAACGCUGGCGGUGUGCCUAAUACAUGCAAGUCGAACGAGAUCUUCGGAUCUAGUGGCGGACGGGUGAGUAACACGUUGGUACCUACCCCUAAGUGGGGAAUAACUGCCCGAAAGGGUGGCUAAUACCGCAUAAUCCCGCAAGGGUAAAGCAGUAAUGCGCUUAGGGAGGGGCCUGCGUCUGAUUAGCUAGUUGGUAGGGUAAUGGCCUACCAAGGCGACGAUCAGUAGCUGGAUCGAGAGGUUGACCAGCCACACUGGGACUGAGAUACGGCCCAGACUCCUACGGGAGGCAGCAGUAAGGAAUCUUCCACAAUGGAC